GUUGCUUUUAUCUGUUGUUCCCAGAACGGACAGCUGCAGCAGCGUUUGGACAACGUCCAGAGGGACUUCAUUGUCUUCAACAGAGAAAAGUCAAGGAAAGUCGUAGUGGAUUCUUCUGAACUAUCCACAAGCGAGAAGAACAAGGCAAUAGAGGACGGACAGAACAACAAUGUUGAACCAGCUGCCUAUUUAUCAGGAUAGGCUUCCUGCUCCCAGAUCCCCACCUCAUCACUUGCACUUGCCUCAAGCUUGCAGUUCAGCAACUUACAAGCAAAACCUAUCAUUCUGUCAGCACAUGCACUCACACCUGGUCCUCUAUGUUCCUGCACUCCUCCAUAGUCUGUAAAAUCUCAAGAACAGCACUGUGCACACUUGUUUCACACCAUUAGACCUAAAAAGCAGCUAGGCGUCAAAAGAUGGUGUCCCUGGGAGGCAGCCAUGUCAGAGACUGACUGACGGACUGCUUUGCUGUCACCAAACGGAUGGACUCCCAGCAGAGUCUCGUAUCAUUUUCCCUUCCGUCACCCUGGUGCUCUUACGUCUGCUCAGCCUCGGUUCUGAGCAGAGUGCUGUAGCAAGAAGUCAGAUCAUUUCCAAAACCAAGGCAGCAGAGCACCUCCACCUGAAUGUACUGACACUGGUUUUAUUAUGAGAGGUUUUCUAGGUAACUAUGGUCAUUUAAUUAUAACAUUGCAGUUGGUAGUGCUACAUAAUGGAGCUGUAAUUUCACAGAAGGUAAAGGUUAUUUUUAUGGAAAGAAGACGUUUCUUUCUGAAAAUGUACCAAAACUUACUAGGUACUUUCCAUAAUGAACUGUGUUUUUUUUUUUUUUUUCUGUAGCUGUUUUUGGUACCUUCCCUGAAGAUUUUACAGAACUUAUCAGACACUUUCUGGAACAUAUUAGUUAAUUUCCUGAAACUCAAAGCUAUAUUUGGAACCUUACGGGUAUUCUAGUGAGUUCUGAAUGGUAACCUCUAAGUUUAUGAAAGUAUCCUCUAAAUUAAAGUAGUUAAGUUCAGGAGAAAAACUUGUAAUUUCCAGAUACUAUCUGAUACAGCACAUUGAGAAAGUAUUCACCCCUCUUGGCAUUUCUUGUGUUUUCUAGCUCACAACCUGGAAAAGGGGAUUAUUUUAGGAUUUGCAUCAUUUCAUUUAAAGAACAUGCAGCUUUCAACAUUUCAUUUUGUUUUUAUUGUGAAACAAACACAUUACAUCUGCAAGUCAUGCUGGAUACGUCUCUAAGAGCUCGCCUCGUCUUGCUGCUGGGAUUGUUGCCCAUUCCUCAAGAUAAACCUUCUCUAGCUCUAGAUGGUUUCCGGUGGUGAACAGCAAUCUUUAAGUCUGUCUGCAGAUUGUCAAUUGAAUUGAGGUUUGGCCUUUGAUUAGACAUUACCAAUACAUUUAAAACUUCCCAUUAAACCACUUGAGUGGAGCUUUAGCAGUAUGCUUUGGGUCAUUGUCUUUUGAAAGGUGAACCUCCGUCCCAGUCUCACAUCGCUGACAGACUGAAGCAGGUUUUACUUCAGAAAAUUCCUGUGUUUAGCUCCAUUCAUCUUCCCCUCUGUCUUUUCUUGGGGUGCUGAGAUGUAUUGAUUAUGAGCCAGACAUAAUGGUUUCCUUGGUGACUGAAAAGUGAAGUUUUAUUUCUCCCAUAAAGCUCAGCUCUAUGAAGUUGGUCAUAUGAACAGAUACUCCAGUAAAGCUUAACACAAAGAAAUAUCAAGAUUGGUGAAUAGUUUCUCAUGGUACUGCAGGUUCAGGAAAGAACAUGGUAUGUCUUGCUAUGUAACCUAGAGGUUAUUGAAAACUAUCUAAUAAGUACCUAUGAGUAAUCUAGGUACUUGUCAGACAAUUUUCCAGAAAAUGCCAGAUAUGUUGUGGAAAGAGUCUGGUAAGUUUUGGAAGGUGACAUCCGAGUCCCAGGAUAGUAACGUGUUAGUUCUAGGAAAUAUUCAGUUCGGUGGAAUAAUCUCUGCAUUCCAGAGAGUAACCUGAAAGGUCUGCAGGAACAUGAGCUGUCAUGUAGCGCCGCCAACUUUAAAGUGAUUCUUCAUCCUGUGUAUGAAAGCCUGAAACAUUUAAUAAUAAUAAACCAUUGCACAGAAAAAGUUUUCCUCUAUGAUCCAUAUAACAUUGGAUACAAGCAUGACAGAAGUAGCAUUAUUAAACUGCUAGUCUUAUUAGACAAAACCAAACUUUGAUUUUAGCGAUGUAAGAAUGAUUCGAAUUCAAUUAGAGGCUUGAAAAUGAAUGGCUUGCUUUUUUCAGGGCAAUAUUUAAAUGGUUAGUGAUCCUGAUGCUUAGCUUGGCUAAUUAAGCUAACAGUGAUUAUAGGUUUUUAACACUUAGUGUCAUGCAGCAUAUCAGACUGUCAGAGAAAAAAGUUAAAUUUUUGUGAUUUACUCACAGUUGAGGUUUUUAGUUCUAGAAAAAUUUGUUUGUGGAAUCAAACAAGAAGAUAAAACAUGAUUUAAUCUUGAGGGAAACUAGGAAACUAAAUGUUACCGUAAUUGAUUACCCUUGACCAAGAGAAUUAAAAAAAACAAACUUAGCCUUGGUCUGCAAAUGACCUACUAGGGAAGCAAAGAGAAACCAAUUGUUGUUUUCUCUUUUUGCACAUGUUGUUUUCAUUAUUGGUAGCAUUUAUGCAACUAAUGCUAUAAAUGAAUAAAUCUUAGGGAUGGACAGAUGAAUUUCAUCAGUUAGCGUCUGCACUCUCUGCCAGAUGUGUGUUGAUGUAUUUCCUCUUUUGAGUUGAUUUUAAUCAGUUAUUUAUCAUUUGAAAUGCUCAUUGUCAGUUUGUCUCUGCAAACUGUUUGUAUGAUAUUCAGAUCCAGGAUUCUGCGCCUGGCACACAUGUGAGGCAACAAAACGUUGUCUAGUUAUUAAAAUAAACAUUUCUCAUCAGCUCAUCCCCUCAAAAUAUUUGCCUGCUUGCACAAAGAGGGAUGCCUUAUAGAUAUCACACUAAGCUAACUCCUGUAUGUAAAAGUGAUGAAAUCCCCACCUUUUUUCAAGCUACUAAAUAAAAAUAUAAACUUUAGCGAUGACUCCACUGACUGCUGUUGUCUGGCUGCAAUGUGAGUCAGUCCUUUCAAUCUUCUUUAUUAUUCUUUAUUAACUUUAAAAUAAAUUUAGUUAAAUUCAUUAGUAAUGGCACUUUUCUAUUUAAGAUUGGUACAAUGUUUUGACUUACCUUUGUGUUCUUGUUGUUCUUGUUGAGGUACUUUACAGAUCUAAAGAUGGUACCUUGUGUAAGUUGGGAUAGCUAAAGGAUUAGUAUGAGCCUGUUUUACUGUGUAAAUAAUAUUUGGGGAACAAUUAUUCAAACUUGUACAUUUAAAGUAGCAUUUGACUACUAAAAAGGGGGAGUGUAUUGAAUAAAAUGAGUGAUAUUCAACCAAAAUGAUUUCUGGCAUUGACAUUUGAAUAACAUUUACAAAUAGUAUUUAUGCCGGGUAAAUCAAAUUAAAAGGGAGGAUUCUUUAUCCUAAGCAUAAUUCUAGUCUAUUAUUUGAUAAGAAAAUUGUACAACUGUGAAUUUUACCCAUGUUCUGUUGUCCUUCAGUUGUCCUUCAGUUGUCACUGUGUAUUUACUGUGAGCAAUUGUGAUGAAGUUUAAACUUUUAAUGUGUGCCUUAAAUAAUAUAUUUCAUUUUUGGAAACAAUACACCUAUGUUGUUUGCUUUGUUCUAGUGUAUUGAAUUAUUUUAUUACUUUUUUCAUCAAAGUGCAGGCUGCCCUCUAGUGUUGUUUGACUGGUGUUACAACAAAUGGCUCAAAUGUGGGGAGUCUUGGUAUGACUGCUGAGAAUAUUUCACUAAAGACAACAUUUUAAAUAAAUAGUUAAGUAAAAAGUGCAUUUACUUACAUGAGGCAUCAAAAAGACUUCCUCUUUUGCUGCAGUUGACAAGCUUUAUGAGCUGUUCUCUCCCUCUUACACACACUCAUCCACUGUUUACGAUUUGAGCUAACUGCUCCCUGAGGUCAUCUGGAGGGUACGGCCCAUUCCUUCCUCCACUGCAGACUUCGCUGAGGCAGCGCUUUCCACAAUAUUGGCUCAACUAGAGAGGGGAUUUUCGGUUGAUAAAUGCUUCCACUUCUGACUGGCACUGCUGCAGAUAAGCAGGCCACCUCAGCAUAUAAAUUAGGCUUUAAGAUGUUUAAAGUAAAAUAUGAGACAAAAAUUUUGAAAAGAAAUGUAUUCUGAGAUUUGCUGCCAUAUUCCUGAUUAAAAAAGGGUUGCUACAUUGUCUUCAACACAAAAUUUGAUGUUCUUUCAUCCAUUUUCUAUUCAUGAUCUUAACUUGAAAUCGUAAGUUUACAUACAUCAAUUAAAAAAAAAAAACA
Long non-coding RNA from Poecilia latipinna (sailfin molly), 4350 nucleotides. RefSeq lists it as uncharacterized. The record is from RefSeq and is a predicted model, not a curated record. The transcript is spliced from 2 exons. NCBI's taxonomy places the organism in Eukaryota, Metazoa, Chordata, Actinopteri, Cyprinodontiformes, Poeciliidae.